Molecule: small nuclear RNA, 255 nt
Filed under: Erinaceus europaeus (western European hedgehog)
Lineage: Eukaryota; Metazoa; Chordata; Mammalia; Eulipotyphla; Erinaceidae
Description: 7SK RNA
Rfam family: 7SK RNA
About the family: 7SK was discovered as an abundant small nuclear RNA in the mid-70s but a possible function has only recently been suggested. Two independent studies have found that 7SK RNA binds the CDK9/cyclin T complex (known as elongation factor P-TEFb).
Source: Rfam by way of RNAcentral
GGAUGUGAGAGCGACCUGGCUGGGACAGCUGUCACCCCAGUGAUCGCCAGGGUCGCGUCCCUUCCAAAGCUGCGCGCUCGCUCGAAGAGGACGACCGGCCUUCCCCGAGUAGCGGCGGCGGCCAGUCUUUAGUCAGAGUGGCUGCGCUCCCUGCUAGGACCUCCAAACAAGCUCUCAGGGAACUCUAGUACGAGAAGGCAAGUCUCAAGGCAGUCACCCUGAUUUUCGUUGUACAGACAAGUCAACUUUGCACUU